This 377-nucleotide ribosomal RNA is filed under the name uncultured bacterium. RNAcentral's name for it is "bacterial SSU rRNA". It matches the Rfam family "Bacterial small subunit ribosomal RNA", at positions 335 to 699 of the family's 1533-position model. The record is from RNAcentral.
ACUCCUACGGGAGGGCAGCAGUGGGAAUAUUGCACAAUGGGUGCAAGCCUGAUGCAGCCAUGCCGCGUGUGUGAAGAAGGGCCUUCGGGUUUGAUGAAGCACUUUCAGUCGUGAGGAAGGUAGUGUAGUUAAUAGCUGCAUUAUUUGACGUUAGCGACAGAAGAAGCACCGGCUAACUCCGUGCCAGCAGCCGCGGUAAUACGGAGGGUGCGAGCGUUAAUCGGAAUUACUGGGCGUAAAGCGCAUGCAGGUGGUUUGUUAAGUCAGAUGUGAAAGCCCGGGGCUCAACCUCGGAAUUGCAUUUGAAACUUGGCAGACUAGAGUACUGUAGAGGGGUGAGAAUUGAUCAGGUGUAGCGGUGAAAUGCGUAGAGAUCU